This 1000-nucleotide ribosomal RNA is filed under the name Streptococcus iniae. RNAcentral describes it as "bacterial SSU rRNA". It matches the Rfam family "Bacterial small subunit ribosomal RNA", at positions 38 to 1018 of the family's 1533-position model. The record is from RNAcentral. Lineage: Bacteria; Bacillati; Bacillota; Bacilli; Lactobacillales; Streptococcaceae.
GGCAUUGGGCCGCUAUACAUGCAAGUAGAACGCUGAGGAUUGGUGCUUGCACUAAUCCAAAGAGUUGCGAACGGGUGAGUAACGCGUAGGUAACCUACCUCAUAGCGGGGGAUAACUAUUGGAAACGAUAGCUAAUACCGCAUGAUACUAGAGUACACAUGUACUUAAGUUAAAAGGAGCAAUUGCUUCACUAUGAGAUGGACCUGCGUUGUAUUAUCUAGUUGGUGAGGUAACGGCUCACCAAGGCGACGAUACAUAGCCGACCUGAGAGGGUGAUCGGCCACACUGGGACUGAGACACGGCCCAGACUCCUACGGGAGGCAGCAGUAGGGAAUCUUCGGCAAUGGACGGAAGUCUGACCGAGCAACGCCGCGUGAGUGAAGAAGGUUUUCGGAUCGUAAAGCUCUGUUGUUAGAGAAGAACGGUAAUGGGAGUGGAAAAUCCAUUACGUGACGGUAACUAACCAGAAAGGGACGGCUAACUACGUGCCAGCAGCCGCGGUAAUACGUAGGUCUCGAGCGUUGUCCGGAUUUAUUGGGCGUAAAGCGAGCGCAGGCGGUUCUAUAAGUCUGAAGUAAAAGGCAGUGGCUCAACCAUUGUAUGCUUUGGAAACUGUAGAACUUGAGUGCAGAAGGGGAGAGUGGAAUUCCAUGUGUAGCGGUGAAAUGCGUAGAUAUAUGGAGGAACACCGGUGGCGAAAGCGGCUCUCUGGUCUGUAACUGACGCUGAGGCUCGAAAGCGUGGGGAGCAAACAGGAUUAGAUACUCUGGUAGUCCACGCCGUAAACGAUGAGUGCUAUGUGUUAGGCCCUUUCCGGGGCUUAGUGCCGCAGCUAACGCAUUAAGCACUCCGCCUGGGGAGUACGACCGCAAGGUUGACACUCAAAGGAAUUGACGGGGGCCCGCACAAGCGGUGGAGCAUGUGGUUUUAUUCGAAGCAACGCGAAGAACCUUACCAGGUCUUGACAUCCCUCUGACCGUCCUAGAGAUAGGAUUUUCCU